Molecule: ribosomal RNA, 253 nt
Filed under: uncultured bacterium
Lineage: Bacteria
Description: partial 16S ribosomal RNA
Rfam family: Bacterial small subunit ribosomal RNA
Source: RNAcentral
UACGUAGGGUGCGAGCGUUAAUCGGAAUUACUGGGCGUAAAGCGUGCGCAGGCGGUUUUGUAAGCCAGAUGUGAAAUCCCCGGGCUUAACCUGGGAAUGGCAUUUGGGACUGCAAGGCUUGAGUGCGGCAGAGGAGACUGGAAUUCCUGGUGUAGCAGUGAAAUGCGUAGAUAUCGGGAAGAACACCCGUGGCGAAGGCGGCACUCUGGGACGGUACUGACGCUGAGACGCGAAAGCGUGGGGAGCGAACAGG